AGUGAACGCUGGCGGUAGGCCUAACACAUGCAAGUCGAACGGCAGCACAGUAAGAGCUUGCUCUUACGGGUGGCGAGUGGCGGACGGGUGAGGAAUACAUCGGAAUCUACUUUUUCGUGGGGGAUAACGUAGGGAAACUUACGCUAAUACCGCAUACGACCUACGGGUGAAAGCAGGGGAUCUUCGGACCUUGCGCGAUUGAAUGAGCCGAUGUCGGAUUAGCUAGUUGGCGGGGUAAAGGCCCACCAAGGCGACGAUCCGUAGCUGGUCUGAGAGGAUGAUCAGCCACACUGGAACUGAGACACGGUCCAGACUCCUACGGGAGGCAGCAGUGGGGAAUAUUGGACAAUGGGCGCAAGCCUGAUCCAGCCUUACCGCGUGGGUGAAGAAGGCCUUCGGGUUGUAAAGCCCUUUUGUUGGGAAAGAAAAGCAGCAGGUUAAUACCCCGCUGUUCUGACGGUACCCAAAGAAUAAGCACCGGCUAACUUCGUG
RNAcentral lists this ribosomal RNA (492 nucleotides) under uncultured bacterium. RNAcentral describes it as "partial 16S ribosomal RNA". It matches the Rfam family "Bacterial small subunit ribosomal RNA", at positions 29 to 507 of the family's 1533-position model. The record is from RNAcentral.